Molecule: transfer RNA, 73 nt
Filed under: Stegodyphus mimosarum
Lineage: Eukaryota; Metazoa; Arthropoda; Arachnida; Araneae; Eresidae
Description: tRNA-Thr for anticodon CGU
Rfam family: tRNA
About the family: Transfer RNA (tRNA) molecules are approximately 80 nucleotides in length. Their secondary structure includes four short double-helical elements and three loops (D, anti-codon, and T loops).
Source: Rfam by way of RNAcentral
GCCUUCAUGGUGUAGUGGUCAGCACGCUCGACGCGUAUUCGAGAGGUCCGUGGUUCGAUUCCAGGCGAGGGCA